CGCACAUUGCGCCCCUCGGUAUUCUGGGGGGCAUGCCUGUUCGAGCGUCAUUUCAACCCUCAAGCUCUGCUUGGCCUUGGGCGUCACCGGUCCCCGGUGUGCCCCAAAACCAGUGGCGGUGCCAUCUGGCUCUGAGCGCAGUACACACUCUCGCUACAGACGCCGGCUGGACGCUGGCCAGCAACCCCCAACUUACCAAGGUUGACCUCGGAUCAGGUAGGGAUACCCGCUGAACUUAA
Molecule: unclassified non-coding RNA, 239 nt
Filed under: Pezicula pruinosa
Lineage: Eukaryota; Fungi; Ascomycota; Leotiomycetes; Helotiales; Dermateaceae
Description: partial contains 5.8S ribosomal RNA, internal transcribed spacer 2, and large subunit ribosomal RNA
Source: RNAcentral